This 60-nucleotide microRNA precursor is filed under the name Ascaris suum (pig roundworm). RNAcentral's name for it is "Asu-Mir-133_pre stem-loop". The record is from RNAcentral. Lineage: Eukaryota; Metazoa; Nematoda; Chromadorea; Rhabditida; Ascarididae.
CCUGGUUGUAGCCGAGCCAAAUUGUGUUUAGUGUAUCAAUUGGUCCCCUUCAACCAGCUA